This 254-nucleotide ribosomal RNA is filed under the name uncultured bacterium. Its description in RNAcentral is "partial 16S ribosomal RNA". It matches the Rfam family "Bacterial small subunit ribosomal RNA", at positions 524 to 776 of the family's 1533-position model. The record is from RNAcentral.
UACGUAGGGUGCGAGCGUUGUCCGGAAUUAUUGGGCGUAAAGAGCUCGUAGGCGGUCUGUCGCGUCGGUCGUGAAAACUUGGGGCUUAACCCUGAGCUUGCGGUCGAUACGGGCAUGACUGGAGUUCGGCAGGGGAGACUGGAAUUCCUGGUGUAGCGGUGAAAUGCGCAGAUAUCAGGAGGAACACCGGUGGCGAAGGCGGAUCUCUGGGCCGAUACUGACGCUGAGGAGCGAAAGCGUGGGGAGCGAACAGG